Molecule: ribosomal RNA, 424 nt
Filed under: uncultured cyanobacterium
Lineage: Bacteria; Bacillati; Cyanobacteriota
Description: bacterial SSU rRNA
Rfam family: Bacterial small subunit ribosomal RNA
Source: RNAcentral
GGGGAAUUUUCCGCAAUGGGCGAAAGCCUGACGGAGCAAGACCGCGGGGGGGAGGAAGGUUCUUGGAUUGUCAACCCCUUCUCUCAGGGAAGAAGAAAGUGACGGUACCUGAGGAAGAAGCAUCGGCUAACUCCGUGCCAGCAGCCGCGGUAAUACGGGGGAUGCAAGCGUUAUCCGGAAUGAUUGGGCGUAAAGAGUCCGUAGGUGGCUCAUCAAGUCUGCUGUUAAAGAGCGAGGCUUAACUUCGUAAAAGCAGUGGAAACUGAAGAGCUAGAGUAUAGUAGGGGCAGAGGGAAUUCCUGGUGUAGCGGUGAAAUGCGUAGAGAUCAGGAAGAACACCGGUGGCGAAAGCGCUCUGCUGGGCUAAAACUGACACUGAGGGACGAAAGCUAGGGGAGCGAAUGGGAUUANAUACCCCAUAGUC